GGCAGGCCUUGAAACCAGCCUGAGAUCUCAGUACAACAAAGCCAGAGGAAAGGAAAGACGCCGGCCGGUGCAGGAUGAAAUCUGAGUUUGGGUGGAGGAAACCCACGAGAGCAGGACAGUCGGGAUGCAGCAGCAAGUAGCAUGGACCAAGUGAUGGAGUAGAAGAACUCGUGGCGUGAACUGUCAAAGGCGGAGCCACACUGGAUAAAAUUCUUGAUUCAAUCAGUCUGUGACGUCCUCCACAGUGUGCCAUGUUGUAGUGUAGCUUCUUCUGAUACAUUGAUUAGCUACUUAAACCAGUUAUGUUCAUGCUCUGUGUUUUAUUGUCCAUUUUUUGUGGGAGCGUUACAGCGCCACAUAAA
Molecule: long non-coding RNA, 362 nt
Organism: Thalassophryne amazonica
Lineage: Eukaryota; Metazoa; Chordata; Actinopteri; Batrachoidiformes; Batrachoididae
Exons: 3
Source: RefSeq, a predicted model, not a curated record